Molecule: ribosomal RNA, 253 nt
Filed under: uncultured bacterium
Lineage: Bacteria
Description: partial 16S ribosomal RNA
Rfam family: Bacterial small subunit ribosomal RNA
Source: RNAcentral
UACGGAGGAUGCAAGCGUUAUCCGGAAUGAUUGGGCGUAAAGCGUCCGCAGGUGGCUGUGUAAGUCUGCUGUUAAAGAGUGAGGCUCAACCUCAUAAAGGCAGUGGAAACUACAUGGCUAGAGUGCGUUCGGGGCAGAGGGAAUUCCUGGUGUAGCGGUGAAAUGCGUAGAGAUCAGGAGGAACACCGGUGGCGAAAGCGCUCUGCUGGACCUUAACUGACACUGAGGGACGAAAGCUAGGGGAGCGAAUGGG